CAGGACGAACGCUGGCGGCGUGCUUAACACAUGCAAGUCGAGCGAAGCACUUCAGGUAGCUUGCUACCUGAUUUGACUGAGCGGCGAACGGGUGAGUAACACGUGGGUGAUCUGCCUGAAAGCCUGGGAUAACAGCUGGAAACGGCUGCUAAUACCGGAUGAAGUCUAUCAUUCGUUUGAUGGACCAAAGAAUUUCGCUUUCAGAUGAGCCCGCGUCCCAUUAGCUAGUUGGUGGGGUAAAGGCCUACCAAGGCGACGAUGGGUAGCCGGUCUGAGAGGAUGGUCGGCCACACUGGAACUGAGACACGGUCCAGACUCCUACGGGAGGCAGCAGUGGGGAAUUUUGCGCAAUGGGCGAAAGCCUGACGCAGCGACGCCGCGUGAGUGAUGAAGGCCUUCGGGUUGUAAAGCUCUGUCGAGGGGGAAGAUAAUGACGGUACCCCUCAAGAAAGCCCCGGCUAACUACGUGCCAGCAGCCGCGGUAA
This 485-nucleotide ribosomal RNA is filed under the name uncultured Bacillus sp. RNAcentral describes it as "bacterial SSU rRNA". It matches the Rfam family "Bacterial small subunit ribosomal RNA", at positions 25 to 523 of the family's 1533-position model. Lineage: Bacteria; Bacillati; Bacillota; Bacilli; Caryophanales; Bacillaceae. The record is from RNAcentral.